This 72-nucleotide transfer RNA is filed under the name Bos taurus (domestic cattle). It matches the Rfam family "tRNA". Rfam says of the family: Transfer RNA (tRNA) molecules are approximately 80 nucleotides in length. Lineage: Eukaryota; Metazoa; Chordata; Mammalia; Artiodactyla; Bovidae. The record is from Rfam by way of RNAcentral. RNAcentral also lists the same sequence under 4 other names.
UCCCUGGUGGCUCAAAUGGUAAAGAAUUUGCUUGCAAAGCAGGAGACCCAGGUUCGAUCCCUGGGUUGGGAA